Molecule: long non-coding RNA, 114 nt
Organism: Gopherus evgoodei (Goodes thornscrub tortoise)
Lineage: Eukaryota; Metazoa; Chordata; Testudines; Testudinidae
Exons: 3
Source: RefSeq, a predicted model, not a curated record
CACAGCAGCAAUAGCUUCCAGGAUUAACUCCUAUGGAAAAUGUUGGGAGACUGUUCGCUGUAGGUGCUCCCUGCUGCAGUUUGCUUUUCCCAAUGCACAGAAAGUCCAGCAGAG